CAGACCGUAAGAGCACAAGUGGCUGUGCUAU
Molecule: small RNA, 31 nt
Filed under: Bombyx mori (domestic silkworm)
Lineage: Eukaryota; Metazoa; Arthropoda; Insecta; Lepidoptera; Bombycidae
Description: ovarian small RNA-13117
Source: RNAcentral